AGAAGGGAAUGAGAAUUCACUAGGUGCUCUGCUUCCGUUCCCACCCCGUUUAUCUCGAUGACGGAUUUCACCAAUCCCACAGAGCACGUUUUACAAAUGAGAGAGCCGUGGCUCAUAGCAUCGUCACAGCCAUGAGUGAGACAUGAAGCCCGUUUUACAUAUGAAGAAAUGUCAUUUGGGCCUAGACAUCAACAAUGAGAAAGAGGCAGUUCUGGUCUCAGAUCGUGGGGCAGAGAAAGCUCCUUGGGAACAUGAGAGAGGAAGCAGUUGGUGCAUUGUAGAAACUGCCCGAAGGCCAGCAGGGCUG
Molecule: small RNA, 307 nt
Filed under: Pongo abelii (Sumatran orangutan)
Lineage: Eukaryota; Metazoa; Chordata; Mammalia; Primates; Hominidae
Description: processed transcript
Source: RNAcentral